RNAcentral lists this ribosomal RNA (409 nucleotides) under Cerastes cerastes (horn viper). RNAcentral describes it as "partial 16S ribosomal RNA". It matches the Rfam family "Bacterial large subunit ribosomal RNA", at positions 1968 to 2594 of the family's 2925-position model. Lineage: Eukaryota; Metazoa; Chordata; Lepidosauria; Squamata; Viperidae. The record is from RNAcentral.
UUUGUCUAUUAAUUGUAGACCCGUAUGAAAGGCAAAAUGAGAGCCCAACUGUCUCUUAUAAUAAAUCAAUUAAACUGAUCCCUCAGUACAAAAGCUGAGAUACCCCCAUAAGACCAGAAGACCCUGUGAAGCUUUAAUUACCCUAUUAAACCACAUAAUAGCUAAUUUCGGUUGGGGCGACCUUGGAACAAAAAAGAACUUCCAAAUAUACGGCUAAAACCGUCAAAAGGCACACAAGCCUCUAAUAGACCCAGGAUUCCUGACAAAUGAACCAAGUUACUCCAGGGAUAACAGCGCCCUCUUCUUCAAGAGCCCAUAUCAAAAAGAAGGUUUACGACCUCCAUGUUGGAUCAGGACAUCCUAGCAAUGCAACCGUUACUAAGGGUUCGUUUGUUCAACGAUUAACAGU